RNAcentral lists this ribosomal RNA (492 nucleotides) under uncultured bacterium. RNAcentral's name for it is "partial 16S ribosomal RNA". It matches the Rfam family "Bacterial small subunit ribosomal RNA", at positions 28 to 507 of the family's 1533-position model. The record is from RNAcentral.
GAUGAACGCUAGCUACAGGCUUAACACAUGCAAGUCGAGGGGAAACGGCAUUAAGUGCUUGCACUUUUUGGACGUCGACCGGCGCACGGGUGAGUAACGCGUAUCCAACCUUCCCAUGACUAGGGGAUAACCUGCCGAAAGGCAGACUAAUACCUUAUGGUCUUCACUGACGGCAUCAGAUGUGAAGUAAAGAUUUAUCGGUUAUGGAUGGGGAUGCGUCUGAUUAGCUUGUUGGCGGGGUAACGGCCCACCAAGGCAACGAUCAGUAGGGGUUCUGAGAGGAAGGUCCCCCACAUUGGAACUGAGACACGGUCCAAACUCCUACGGGAGGCAGCAGUGAGGAAUAUUGGUCAAUGGGCGAGAGCCUGAACCAGCCAAGUAGCGUGCAGGAUGACGGCCCUAUGGGUUGUAAACUGCUUUUGUAUGGGGAUAAAGUCAAUCACGUGUGAUUGUUUGCAGGUACCAUACGAAUAAGGACCGGCUAAUUCCGUG